RNAcentral lists this ribosomal RNA (252 nucleotides) under uncultured prokaryote. Its description in RNAcentral is "partial 16S ribosomal RNA". It matches the Rfam family "Bacterial small subunit ribosomal RNA", at positions 524 to 776 of the family's 1533-position model. The record is from RNAcentral.
UACGGGGGGAGCAAGCGUUAUUCGGUAUAACUAGGCGUAAAGGGUCCGUAGGCGGCAAGUUUCGUUAUUAGGUAAAAACUAGGGCUCAACCUUAGAAAACUAAUAAUACAGAUUUAGCUAGAGUAAUAUAGGGGAUAGUAGAAUUCCUAUAGUAGGGAUGAAAUCCAGUCACAAUAGGAGGAAUGUCAGAGGCGAAGGCGACUAUCUGGAUAUUACUGACGCUCAGUGACGAAGGCAUAGGGAUCAAAUGGG